This 453-nucleotide ribosomal RNA is filed under the name uncultured organism. RNAcentral's name for it is "partial 16S ribosomal RNA". It matches the Rfam family "Bacterial small subunit ribosomal RNA", at positions 330 to 799 of the family's 1533-position model. The record is from RNAcentral.
CGUACACUCCUACGGGAGGCAGCAGUGGGGAAUAUUGGACAAUGGGCGCAAGCCUGAUCCAGCCAUGCCGCGUGAGUGAUGAAGGCCCUAGGGUUGUAAAGCUCUUUCACCGGUGAAGAUAAUGACGGUAACCGGAGAAGAAGCCCCGGCUAACUUCGUGCCAGCAGCCGCGGUAAUACGAAGGGGGCUAGCGUUGUUCGGAUUUACUGGGCGUAAAGCGCACGUAGGCGGACUAUUAAGUCAGGGGUGAAAUCCCGGGGCUCAACCCCGGAACUGCCUUUGAUACUGGUAGUCUUGAGUUCGAGAGAGGUGAGUGGAAUUCCGAGUGUAGAGGUGAAAUUCGUAGAUAUUCGGAGGAACACCAGUGGCGAAGGCGGCUCACUGGCUCGAUACUGACGCUGAGGUGCGAAAGCGUGGGGAGCAAACAGGAUUAGAAAUCCGAGUAGUCCCAUG